RNAcentral lists this ribosomal RNA (440 nucleotides) under uncultured bacterium. RNAcentral describes it as "partial 16S ribosomal RNA". It matches the Rfam family "Bacterial small subunit ribosomal RNA", at positions 338 to 795 of the family's 1533-position model. The record is from RNAcentral.
CCUACGGGAGGCAGCAGUAGGGAAUAUUGCUCAAUGGGGGAAACCCUGAAGCAGCAACGCCGCGUGGAGGAUGAAGGUUUUCGGAUUGUAAACUCCUUUUGUUAGAGAAGAGAAUGACGGUAUCUAAGGAAUAAGCACCGGCUAACUCCGUGCCCGCAGCCGCGGUAAUACGGAGGGGGCAAGCGUUACUCGGAAGCACUGGGCGUAAAGAGCGCGUAGGCGGGAUAGCAAGUCAGAUGUGAAUUCCUAUGGCUUAACCCUAGAACUGCAUUUGAAACUGUUAUUCUAGAGUUUGGGAGAGGUAGGUGGUAUUCUUGGUGUAGCGGUCACAUCCUUAGCGAUCAAGAGGAAUACUCAUUGCGACGGCGUCCUGCUAGAACAUACCUGACGCUGAUGCGCGAAAGCGUGGGGAGCAAACAGGAUUAGAUACCCUUGUAGUC